GAUGAACGCUGGCGGCGUGCCUAAUACAUGCAAGUCGAGCGAACGGACGAGAAGCUUGCUUCUCUGAUGUUAGCGGCGGACGGGUGAGUAACACGUGGAUAACCUACCUAUACGACUGGGAUAACUUCGGGAAACCGGAGCUAAUACCGGAUAAUAUUUUGAACCGCAUGGUUCAAAAGUGAAAGACGGUCUUGCUGUCACUUAUAGAUGGAUCCGCGCUGCAUUAGCUAGUUGGUAAGGUAACGGCUUACCAAGGCAACGUUGCAUAGCCGACCUGAGAGGGUGAUCGGCCACACGGGAACGGAGACACGGUCCAGACUCCUGCGGGAGGCAGCAGUAGGGAAUCUUCCGGAAUGGGCGAAAGCCUGACGGAGCAACGCCGCGUGAGUGAUGAAGGUCUUCGGAUCGUAAAACUCUGUUAUUAGGGAAGAACAUAUGUGUAAGUAACUGUGCACAUCUUGACGGUACCUAAUCAGAAAGCCACGGCUAACUACGUG
RNAcentral lists this ribosomal RNA (497 nucleotides) under uncultured bacterium. Its description in RNAcentral is "partial 16S ribosomal RNA". It matches the Rfam family "Bacterial small subunit ribosomal RNA", at positions 28 to 507 of the family's 1533-position model. The record is from RNAcentral.